GAUGCAAAGGAUCUACCCACCUGUACAGACUAGAAGCUCCUUCAAAUAUUUCUUUUCAGGCAAGAGUGGCUGGGGGAAGUAGGGCACAUGCUGCCUUUAAUCCAUUGAGCCUGACCUAGGCACUCGUUGAUGUCCCAAGGAAAUGUUCAAAGAAGGUAUAAAUGUGAUGGACCAGCAGUAGCCAUCUUGGAAACAUAAAGCAAGGAGCCAACAUGCUAAGAGAGAAUCCUCAACAAUACUACUUCCUCUACAGCCCGGAUGUAACCGCAACUGUCUUUAGCGUAAUAUACCCAGGCAUUAUGGGACUUUUCCCUGGGCCUCCAGAGAACGGAGGACUGGAACUCGGCCCCACCAGAAAUCAGACCAGACCAGAACCAGAAUUCGAGUUCUCUGCCAAGAGGAGGUGACCAGUCUCCAAUCCUCAGCUCAGGCUGAGGGCCCUUUGACCAGAUUCCUGCAUCCAGGACAGGGGGACUAGAAAAACAGGUCUGGCACAAAGAAGGUCCUUAAUAAUCAUUCAUUAAAGUUUUAUUUUGAAU
Molecule: long non-coding RNA, 539 nt
Organism: Bos taurus (domestic cattle)
Lineage: Eukaryota; Metazoa; Chordata; Mammalia; Artiodactyla; Bovidae
Source: Ensembl